RNAcentral lists this ribosomal RNA (520 nucleotides) under uncultured delta proteobacterium. RNAcentral's name for it is "bacterial SSU rRNA". It matches the Rfam family "Bacterial small subunit ribosomal RNA", at positions 27 to 523 of the family's 1533-position model. The record is from RNAcentral. Lineage: Bacteria; Deltaproteobacteria.
GAACGAACGCUGGCGGCGUGCCUAAGACAUGCAAGUCGUGCGAGAAAGGGGCUUCGGCCCUGAGUACAGCGGCGCACGGGUGAGUAACGCGUGGGUAACCUACCUCGAAGUUGGGAAUAACCCGGGGAAACCUGGGCUAAUGCCGGAUGAGCCCACGAGAUCCUUGGAUCAUGUGGGAAAAGGUGGCCUCUGCUUGCAAGCUACCGCUUCGAGACGGGCCCGCGUCCCAUUAGCUAGUUGGUGAGGUGACGGCUCACCAAGGCUCCGAUGGGUAGCUGGUCUGAGAGGACGAUCAGCCACACUGGAACUGAGACACGGUCCAGACUCCUACGGGAGGCAGCAGUCGGGAAUCUUGGGCAAUGGGCGCAAGCCUGACCCAGCGACGCCGCGUGAGGGAUGAAGGCCUUCGGGUCGUAAACCUCUGUCAGGAGGGAAGAAUGUCGACGAGGUGAACAAUCUCGUCGGUUGACGGUACCUCCAAAGGAAGCGCCGGCUAACUCCGUGCCAGCAGCCGCGGUAA